RNAcentral lists this ribosomal RNA (70 nucleotides) under Phocaeicola vulgatus. RNAcentral's name for it is "Bacteroides vulgatus partial 16S ribosomal RNA". Lineage: Bacteria; Pseudomonadati; Bacteroidota; Bacteroidia; Bacteroidales; Bacteroidaceae. The record is from RNAcentral.
AUUUUUACAAUGAAGAGUUUGAUCCUGGCUCAGGAUGAACGCUAGCUACAGGCUUAACACAUGCAAGUCG